GAAAUGCGAUAAGUAGUGUGAAUUGCAGAAUUCAGUGAAUCAUCGAAUCUUUGAACGCACAUUGCGCCCCUUGGUAUUCCAUGGGGCAUGCCUGUUCGAGCGUCAUUUGUACCCUCAAGCUCUGCUUGGUGUUGGGUGUUUGUCCCGUCUCCGCGCGUGGACUCGCCCCAAAGCGAUUGGCAGCCGGCGUACUGGUCCCGGAGCGCAGCACAUGUCGCGCAAACGAGUGCCUUGGUACGGCGGCGUCCAUAAGCCCCUCUCUCACGCUCUUGACCUCGGAUCAGGUAGGGAUACCCGCUGAACUUAAGC
This 309-nucleotide unclassified non-coding RNA is filed under the name plant metagenome. RNAcentral's name for it is "partial contains 5.8S ribosomal RNA, internal transcribed spacer 2, and large subunit ribosomal RNA". The stretch from base 1 to 105 matches the Rfam family "5.8S ribosomal RNA", at positions 50 to 154 of the family's 154-position model. The record is from RNAcentral.